Long non-coding RNA from Tympanuchus pallidicinctus (lesser prairie-chicken), 678 nucleotides. RefSeq lists it as uncharacterized. The record is from RefSeq and is a predicted model, not a curated record. Lineage: Eukaryota; Metazoa; Chordata; Aves; Galliformes; Phasianidae. The transcript is spliced from 2 exons.
UUGCUCCUCAUGGAGUUUACUGUGAGCUUACAACAUUGGUACUUGGAAGGCCACAAUGAGGACUCCCUUCAACCUUCUCUUCUUCAAGAGUCCUUGGCCUGUCUUCCUAGGACAGAUGUGCUCCAGUCAUAUAAUCAUCUCCAUUUCUCUCCUCUGGACAUGCUCCAAAAGCUCCACAUCUUUCUUCUGUUGGAAGCCCAAGACCUGGCCACAGUACUGCAGAUGGGAAGUAGUGCAGAGAGAAAAUCACUUCCCUUGCCCUUCUGAACACUUCUCUUUUGAUGCAGCCCAGAAUACAGUUGGCUUUCUGGGCUGCAAAUGGACACUGCUGGCUUGUUUUCCACCUACCAGAACCUGUACAUACUUCUUGUCAGGGCUACUCCCAAUGAGUUCUUUUCUCAGUCUGUACAAACAUCUGGGAUUUUCCCAACUGAUGUGAAACACCUUACGUUUGGCCUCAUUAAACCUCACUAGAUUCCAAACCGUGAGCCUGUUCAGCUCCCUCUGAAUGUCUUCCUUUCCUUCUGUUGAAUCAACUGCACUACUCAGCAAGUUUACGCAUUAUUUUUUUGUUUUAUUUUUACAUACGAAAUUUUUUCUUCUACUUUGUAACUUCAGAUAUUAAUCCAGAAAAUAUUUCAAAUAGAAACUUGAUAGCAUCUGCAAGUGAUCAAAGAA